UACAGAGGUCCCGAGCGUUGUUCGGAUUUAUUGGGCGUAAAGGGUGCGUAGGCGGCGGAGUAAGUUGGGUGUGAAAUCCCGAGGCUCAACCUCGGAAUUGCAUUCAAUACUGCUUCGCUCGAGUACUGGAGAGGAGGCUGGAAUUUACGGUGUAGCAGUGAAAUGCGUAGAUAUCGUAAGGAAGGCCGGUGGCGAAAGCGAGCCUCUGGAUAGUUACUGACGCUGAUGCACGAAGGCCAGGGGAGCAAACGGG
This 253-nucleotide ribosomal RNA is filed under the name uncultured bacterium. RNAcentral describes it as "partial 16S ribosomal RNA". It matches the Rfam family "Bacterial small subunit ribosomal RNA", at positions 524 to 776 of the family's 1533-position model. The record is from RNAcentral.